Lepidothrix coronata (blue-crowned manakin) is the source of this 1328-nucleotide long non-coding RNA. RefSeq lists it as uncharacterized. NCBI's taxonomy places the organism in Eukaryota, Metazoa, Chordata, Aves, Passeriformes, Pipridae. The transcript has 3 exons. The record is from RefSeq and is a predicted model, not a curated record.
GUUCCGGUCCCACCGGAGAGGUGCAGGCGGUGACCGCCGGGAUCGCGGCGUGCGGAGAGGGUCUGGGGGCAACAGCAGAGCCGUGUCCCCUGGGCAGGUGACACACUGAACCAGCAGCACCAGCUCUUUGAGGAGUACCAGGGCCCCUGUCGCCAGGCACUUGGCCGUGACCAGCCCUGGGCCAUAGGGACACUGCUCAGCUACCUCAACAUCUACAAGGAGCCCAUGUCCACCCCCAAGAACACAAAGAGGUGAUAGAGUGGGGACAUGGGGAUGGGGGAGAUGAGGGACACAGAGUGGGGACAGUGGAGACAUGGGUCAGGGUUCCCACAGGAGCUGAGUGGGGAGUGGGAUGCUUCAGCCGAGCCACCAGCCUGGAAAGGGGAAUGAUGCUGUGAUCGCAAUGUCCCCAUGUCCCCAUGUCAUUGUGUCUCUGUGCCAUCAUGUCCCCAUUCCACCUUGUCCACCUGCCACCACAUCCCAGUGUCACCGAGUCCUCAUCCCACUGUGUCCCCACACCACUCAUCCCCAUGCCAUCACAUCCCUGUAUCACCACGUUUUCAUGUCACCAUGUCCCUGUGCCACAUGUUCCCUGCCUGCAGGAUGCUUUCCCAGCUGUGGGGGUGGCUGCAGUACCCGGAGAGGUCCAUCCCGUGCAAUGGGGACCCCGAUCCUGCGGCCCCACAGCCCUGGCAGGGCCAGUACUUGGACUAUGUGCUGCACCGCAGGCACCCGCCGCUGCCCACCGUGAAUGUCCCCAUGUCCCCGUGUCCCAGUGUCCCCUGCCCUGAUGCCGCUGUCCCUGCAGGAGGUGGCUGGAGUCUCCAUUAUCACCCAGCUGGCCAUGUGCUCCAGGUGGGACCUGCCACCCCCCGGGCCCUUGACGCCAGUACAGGGGAGGUUCAGACCUUCCACCCUCACAGACCUCACAGCAGCACAGGGGGGUCUCAGACCUCCUGGUACAUGAGGAGGGGCUGGCACCUCACAGGGACAGCUCCAAGCCCCCAGUUGUGUGUCUCUGCACAGCUGUGUGCUGGUGACCAUGGGGCUGAUGGGUGCAGUGAUCUGGCAUCACUCUGGCAUCGAUCCAGCAUCGAUUCAGCGUUGAUCCAGCAUUGAUUCAGCAUAUAUCCAGCAUCACAGAAUCACAGAAUGAUUUAGGUUGGAAAAGACCUCCAAGACCAUCGAGUCCACCCUGUGCCCGAUCCCCAUCUUGUCACCCAGACUGCAGCACUGAGUGCCACAUCCAGUCAUUUCUUGAACACCUCCAGGGAUGGGGACUCCACCACCUCCCUAGACAGCCCCUUCCAAUGUCUGACCACCCUUUC